GCGGAGCGAUCUUAGGAGGGCAGGCACGCAAGGUUUAGGACCUUGUGCUCGCAAGAGCUUGGGGGUUCGAGUCCCUUCAUCCGCA
RNAcentral lists this transfer RNA (85 nucleotides) under Candidatus Levyibacteriota bacterium. RNAcentral describes it as "tRNA-Leu". The record is from RNAcentral. Lineage: Bacteria; Candidatus Levyibacteriota.